RNAcentral lists this small nuclear RNA (165 nucleotides) under Nomascus leucogenys (northern white-cheeked gibbon). Its description in RNAcentral is "U2 spliceosomal RNA (ENSNLEG00000026253.2)". The stretch from base 1 to 110 matches the Rfam family "U2 spliceosomal RNA". From Rfam's summary of the family: U2 is a small nuclear RNA (snRNA) component of the spliceosome (involved in pre-mRNA splicing). Complementary binding between U2 snRNA (in an area lying towards the 5' end but 3' to hairpin I) and the branchpoint sequence (BPS) of the intron results the bulging out of an unpaired adenosine, on the BPS, which initiates a nucleophilic attack at the intronic 5' splice site, thus starting the first of two transesterification reactions that mediate splicing. The record is from RNAcentral. Lineage: Eukaryota; Metazoa; Chordata; Mammalia; Primates; Hylobatidae.
AUGGCUUCUUGGCCUUUUGGCCAAGAUCAAGUAUAGUAUGUGUUCUUACCAGUUUAAUAUCUGAUAUGUCUUCUAUCUGAGGACAAAUCUUUGUUUUUUUUAUACUUUAAGUUCUAGGGUACAAUGUGCAGGUUUGUUACAUUAUGUAUACAUGUGCCAUGUUGG